GAUGAACGCUGGCGGCGUGCUUAACACAUGCAAGUCGAGCGAAGCACUUGAACGGAUUUCUUCGGAUUGAAGUUUUUGUGACUGAGCGGCGGACGGGUGAGUAACGCGUGGGUAACCUGCCUCAUACAGGGGGAUAACAGUUAGAAAUGGCUGCUAAUACCGCAUAAGCGCACAGGACCGCAUGGUCUGGUGUGAAAAACUCCGGUGGUAUGAGAUGGACCCGCGUCUGAUUAGCUAGUUGGAGGGGUAACGGCCCACCAAGGCAACGAUCAGUAGCCGGCCUGAGAGGGUGAACGGCCACAUUGGGACUGAGACACGGCCCAGACUCCUACGGGAGGCAGCAGUGGGGAAUAUUGCACAAUGGGGGAAACCCUGAUGCAGCGACGCCGCGUGAAGGAAGAAGUAUCUCGGUAUGUAAACUUCUAUCAGCAGGGAAGAAAAUGACG
RNAcentral lists this ribosomal RNA (446 nucleotides) under uncultured bacterium. RNAcentral's name for it is "bacterial SSU rRNA". It matches the Rfam family "Bacterial small subunit ribosomal RNA", at positions 28 to 456 of the family's 1533-position model. The record is from RNAcentral.